Molecule: long non-coding RNA, 2572 nt
Organism: Cyclopterus lumpus (lumpfish)
Lineage: Eukaryota; Metazoa; Chordata; Actinopteri; Perciformes; Cyclopteridae
Exons: 3
Source: RefSeq, a predicted model, not a curated record
CCGCUUUCUGAGAGCCGUCGCUUCGGUGAAAUCGAGGGAGGAGAGCGGUCAUCAUGACGGCCAACAUCCGGUACAAAAGCCGCAUCCCGGUUAAAACAGAGGAUGGCACAGAGGGUUUUAAACCUACAGUGAUUCCAGGGCGCUGCCUUCCAGGAAGCUUUUGGAAAGUAACUGGAGGUUGACCCAGAUAGAGAGAUUGUUUGAAAGAAUCUUUUCAAGUAUUUUGUCGGCCAUGAUAAGUUUGGGAUUACAAGUUCUUUGGAAAUGGGGAUCAGGAGUUUUAAGCAGUAAUCCAAUGAAAGGAAUGGAGAGAAUUAGGGUUAUUUCAUAACCGGUCUCUGUGUAUUAACUGCACACAAUCAGAAUUUUACUUUAAUCAAUCACAGUUAACUUUAGACUGGAAAAUAAAAAAGAUUUAAAUUGAAUUUCCAUUAAAGCAUGAGGUAAGGUUGGUGUCACGCAACCUUACCUCACGCGUCUCAACUAAAGACCCAGCUAUUCACUUCCUCCUGAGCUGUUGGCCAUAUCACAUGAUCUUCAUCAGCAUGUUGAGUUUGCUCAAGUGUCAUGGAAUUAUGGAUGCUCAGACCUUUUCGUGAUUUUAGCAGAAACUUCUCCAUGUUAAGCUCAACAUUCAUGCAACAUGGUUGAGAAGAGUUUUAAGUGCACAAAACCAUUAAAGUGAGUCAAUGGACCUUCAAUUCUUUUUAUAUUUCUAACUUUUUUUUGUCAACAAAUCCCAUGAAAAGACAAAAAACAACAAUGUGUCGGUUCAUCAUUGACCUCCACAGAUCUCAGCCCACUGGAUCCUGCUGAAGACAGCACUGUUGUGCUUUUGUUGGGGACUAUUUCCAGCUGAUGGAUGUACGUACAGAUAAUACUUCUUAGUGGUAUCAAUACAUCCUUUAAGUAUCAGAAGUUGUGUCCUCCAUUUUUGUUUUACACAACUUCCAACCUCCCAAAAACAAAAACCUGGUUCCUUCAUGAAGACAUUCAGCCGUGUGGUUCCCUCUGCUAAAUGCUCGUGGACACAUGUUAAUAAUGGCGUUCGUUCAAGGUUACAGCCGUGCUCCCACGAGUGUCCAUUGUCAUUGAAUAGGCGGAUGCUAAAAAACUGGGCCGCAAUGACCGAGUGUCCUUCAGUGAAGCAAUUCUAUUGUUUUGCCUGAGCAAUUACAUGCUGUCAGAUUAGCAUGUUAAAGAGCCGAGUGCAUCUCCAAGGGAGACGCAAAGCCCAGAGUGUUUUUGCACCCCUCUCCUUCUGUCUCAGCCUCCCUCACCCCUCUCCCACUCUCCUGUCUCCCCUCAUCUCUGGUGGGGAAAGAACACACAUUUAGGGCAAAGCAACCAGGGUGAAACAUUGGACAUUGCAGACAAGUCACCAGUAAAGGUCACCGCUCUUCACAGGGACACGUUGCACCAUUUUAAGCCCUCGACCGAGGCCACUGGGUUUCAGGAGAUGCACUGGUCGGAAAGCACAAGUAGAUUCUUCAUGUAGUCGUACCUUUUUUGACCACCAGUAAUUCCUCUUUCACUUAGAUUGCUACAACGGGGAAAAUCGAAGUUGAAAUAGUCUUUCCUCUGGUAAAAUAGAUAUUUAAAGUGUUAAAGAAAAGAACAAAAGACAAAAAGUCAAAUUCAUAAGCAAGAUAAUUCAAUACACGGAGGUCGUUUUUGUCUAUAUUCCAUUAAUUGUUUCCCUGUCAAAACCUGGCGCCUACUUUACCAACAAUGCAACCCGACAGCUGUGUAAAAGUUCUUGGAGUUCCCCUUUAAGUAAAGCCUCACACUGAAUAGUCACUGUAUCAGAGAGGGAUCGACUGGCUGCUGACAACAUUCAUGCAAAAAUGUUUCAGGCAGUAAGUUUGCAAUUUUUAAAAUCAAAGCAGUCUUCCAAAAAGCUGCUUUUGUAUUUUUCCUUUUGAGGUUUCAAGCAGUGCGUGCGGGGACACUUCUAUACACAAGGAGGAUCUUCUCCACCUCCUCGUCACCGUGGAUACUCACAUACAUUAUCGUGCCACGUCAUCCGGUGGAUCAAUCUGAAGUGAUCCUGCAGCUUGAAUUGUGAUCGGAUGUUCAGUGUGUGUGAUGUUCAGUGUGUGUGUGUGCGCGUGUGCGUGAGUGUGCCCUGGCAGUGGAGCGGACUGCUGGGCCCUUUUGAGAGUGGUUUCCUUAAAGGCCACGACUUUGUUUGACGGGGAGGAAGAGGCUGAGUGCUGCCUGCAGGCAGAGUGGCUGAUCCCUCUCUGCCUCCGCAGGACCAUGCAACAUGUUGACAGGCUGACAAAUAAACGGACUCACAGGGGCAUGGUGCAUUCAUACACUGAAAUAGUAUUCUGUGAGCGAAGCCUCUUGUUCUUGUUGUAAAGAGCAAAAGAAAACCAUAUUCCGGAAAAGUCGGAGAUCAUUUUCCACGUCUCUUCAAGAGAGGUUUGUUUAAAAGAUAAACAAGUGGUUCAGCACAAAUACGUCAUUUAUCUUUAUUAAAAAAGGCACUUUUUUCAGACAAAUAUUUGUGUAGUCGAAAAUUGAACCGCAGCAAUUGUGAAAAUCUAUUAAUGAUAAUAAAAUG